AUACUUACCUGACCGGGGUCUGGCGGUGGUCACGAGGGCCGCUAGCCUUCGGGGGAGCAGGCCAUUGCACUCGCUUCGGCGUCUGGUGCUGUAAGCCCGAAAGGACGGGGCUCCGCCCCGAUCCUACGGUACAAUUUUUCGACUGGGGCGAUGCGCUUGCGCUCGCCCCCA
The sequence is a small nuclear RNA, 171 nucleotides long. It matches the Rfam family "U1 spliceosomal RNA". From Rfam's summary of the family: U1 is a small nuclear RNA (snRNA) component of the spliceosome (involved in pre-mRNA splicing). Its 5' end forms complementary base pairs with the 5' splice junction, thus defining the 5' donor site of an intron. The record is from Rfam.